AGUGAACGCUGGCGGUAGGCCUAACACAUGCAAGUCGAACGGCAGCACAGUAAGAGCUUGCUCUUACGGGUGGCGAGUGGCGGACGGGUGAGGAAUAUAUCGGAAUCUACUUUUUCGUGGGGGAUAACGUAGGGAAACUUACGCUAAUACCGCAUACGACCUACGGGUGAAAGCAUGGGAUCUUCGGACCUUGCGCGAUUGAAUGGGCCGAUGUCGGAUUAGCUAGUUGGCGGGGUAAAGGCCCACCAAGGCGACGAUCCGUAGCUGGUCUGAGAGGAGGGUCAGCCACAUUGGAACUGGGCCACGGUCCAGACUCCUACGGGAGGCAGCAGUGGGGAAUAUUGGACAAUGGGCGCAAGCCUGAUCCAGCCAUACCGCGUGGGUGAAGAAGGCCUUCGGGUUGUAAAGCCCUUUUGUUGGGAAAGAAAAGCAGCAGGUUAAUACCCCGCUGUUCUGACGGUACCCAAAGAAUAAGCACCGGCUAACUUCGUG
RNAcentral lists this ribosomal RNA (492 nucleotides) under uncultured bacterium. Its description in RNAcentral is "partial 16S ribosomal RNA". It matches the Rfam family "Bacterial small subunit ribosomal RNA", at positions 29 to 507 of the family's 1533-position model. The record is from RNAcentral.